This 309-nucleotide ribosomal RNA is filed under the name uncultured bacterium. RNAcentral's name for it is "bacterial SSU rRNA". It matches the Rfam family "Bacterial small subunit ribosomal RNA", at positions 28 to 334 of the family's 1533-position model. The record is from RNAcentral.
GAUGAACGCUAGCGGCAGGCUUAACACAUGCAAGUCGAGGGGUAACAGAGGUAGCUUGCUACUUGCUGACGACCGGCGCACGGGUGCGUAACGCGUAUACAAUCUACCUUUUGCUGAGGGAUAGCCCAGAGAAAUUUGGAUUAAUACCUCAUGGUAUGUAUUGAUGGCAUCAUCAUUAUAUUAAAGGUUACGGCAAAAGAUGAGUAUGCGUUCUAUUAGCUAGAUGGUGUGGUAACGGCACACCAUGGCAACGAUAGAUAGGGGCCCUGAGAGGGGGAUCCCCCACACUGGUACUGAGACACGGACCAG